This 666-nucleotide long non-coding RNA is filed under the name Chinchilla lanigera (long-tailed chinchilla). RNAcentral's name for it is "lncRNA (ENSCLAG00000027155.1)". Lineage: Eukaryota; Metazoa; Chordata; Mammalia; Rodentia; Chinchillidae. The record is from RNAcentral.
GCGACCUGGUAAAUCCUAAGUGAGUCAUGCUUCAUUUGAAUACCAAACCAGAGGGACUCUCAAGCCUGCAGCAGAAAGAAAUAGAAUUGUACAGUUGGGAGUUGCUUUGGUGUGACAGAGUUACAGGCUCCCUUCCACCUCCAGGCUCAGCCCGGACGCCCUGUGCGUGCUGCUCCAGAAACUGGUUCACUGCAUUCCACUCACUCCAGCUGAAAAUGUUCAUUCACUCCCAAAAUAUUUUUUGAACAUGGUAAGAAACAAAGUCUUUACUAUCAAAAAUAUGGACAAGAGAGUGUCGCCAAGGAGUCCAACCUAGGCUGCCCUCCCUCACCCCUUACACCAGAGUUUCAAGAAAUGUCCACUCAGUUUAGAUUCCAGGAGCGGGACUGAACACUAAAGAUCAACAGCCCAGGACUCUCAGCUCUCUCUACUCCACUCUCCCCUCCCUUAGCAAGCCUGCCCCCAACCCUUCAGGCCUUCCCCUUGAGCCACUUAAACUAGCCAAUCAGGACAGAUUGUGAACCUUCAAACCAGCCAAUGGGGAGAAGGUCAGCUGCUUAUCACAAAUUAGAAAAUAAAACGAGCGUGUUGCUUUGUCUGUGUGCACUUGCUACCUCAUGCUAAAAUGUGCUCGUGCCUUUGUGUAGAAAUAAAACAAUCUUGCCU